Molecule: long non-coding RNA, 829 nt
Filed under: Equus caballus (horse)
Lineage: Eukaryota; Metazoa; Chordata; Mammalia; Perissodactyla; Equidae
Description: lncRNA (ENSECAG00000044994.1)
Source: RNAcentral
CUGAGGCUGUAACUUCCCUUCCUCGGGGCUUUGGUUUCAGCUUGUGUCAAGUGAAGAAUUUGGAACCAGUUAUUCCUAAGGCUCUUUCUGGCUCUCACUGUCUAUGUUUCCAGCGCUCUGGACAAAAACAGGAGGAUUGGUUCUGGUUCCAACUCCAUGUCUUAUUUUUGGCUCAUCUCUUUUCUCUCUCCCUAAUUUUCUGCUCUUGUAAGUUGGGAUAAAGCGCAGAACAUUUGCAUAAAGCUUUGGGGUUUGAAGACUCCCUUUGUAUUAUCUUGUUUUCAGGUGCUGCUAUUAUCUGCCCACCCUAUCUUACAGUUGCUUUGCAGAUCAAAUGAGGUCAGGAAGAUACUUUGAUCAAGGAUGAUGAUGGAUACUUGUUAGUGGACAGAGAUCUCAACAAUCCAAACACUUUACCACGGCUCACAGUGACCUGCUUAAUCUGACCCCGGCACAUCAAUGUCCUCCCCCGGACUUGGUUCAGAUGAAAUAUCCUCCUGGACUCCUGGGGUCCCCAUGUCCUCCAGCCUGGGUAAAGUGUUCAUCCUGUAUGGCUCUGCCACCUGGUUGCAAGCAACGGACAGACUGGCUAAGCAAAGCAGAAAAAGAGAUUUAUCGGAAGGAUUGAAGAUGAACGUAAGAAAAUAAAAACUAAGAAGGAGCAAAAGGAGCAGGCAAGGAUCAAAGAAGCUCAUGAAUCCAGGAAGUAAGGACUGACAACAGCCCCUUCUUCACAGAGGGCUCUGGAAUUGGGAUGUGUCAACUGUGUCUGUUUUCAGCAUUUGUGUUACUCUGCUCAAGAGUCAAAUUCCAUGUCAAGACUCUGACU